UGCCACAGCCAUAUCACCCUGCAGCCCAAGACUGGUUACUCACUGAAGCUAAGCAGAGCUGAGCCUGGUCAGUACUUGGAUGGGAGACCCUAUGGGAAAGCUAGGUUGCUGUUGGAA
Molecule: ribosomal RNA, 117 nt
Filed under: Danio rerio (zebrafish)
Lineage: Eukaryota; Metazoa; Chordata; Actinopteri; Cypriniformes; Danionidae
Source: RNAcentral